RNAcentral lists this ribosomal RNA (117 nucleotides) under Candidatus Vampirococcus lugosii. Lineage: Bacteria; Candidatus Absconditibacteriota. The record is from RNAcentral.
UGGUAUUAAUGCAAUAUUAGGAGACACCUGUUACCAUUCCGAACACAGAAGUUAAGUUAAUAUUGGUUGAUGAUACUGGUUCUACUGGAGCUGGGAAAGUAAAUUGGUGCCACCAAU